GUUAUCACAUCCAUCUCCCUCGCUUGCGUGCCUUUCUUCCUCAGCCAACCUGCUCAUCCACCCCAGCGACCGCCAUGUCCCGGCCGUCUCCGCCGCGCGUCUGUCGUACUCGCCCCGAGGAAGCCUGCUCCAGGAAGAUGCUGCCCUCCCGGCCUCGCCGUCUUUUUCGGGCAGACACUGGCGAGGCCCCGUUGAUGGGUGGGGGCCGGCUCCGCGCGGGCUUCUGGGCGCCAUGAAUCGCGACAGCAUCGGCAUGCCCUAUCACUUCAACUGCACGCGCUUUCGAGUUCCAUCUGACCUCGCCGGUCCACGGGUAGGCGGAAGCUUUAUUCGGUCCGUACGGCCACAGUUCGCCGGCCCUAUGCUCGCCGGGGGCGUAUAUCAAGGAGCUUUGCGGGGAGCCAUGGGGGCACCGGGCGCAAGAGUAGUUCAGAUCUGGCGUCCCAUGGAUCGCCCGGACUGAAGCACGGUGAACCGGUCGCGCCUCUUGUUGAGGCUAGCCCUCCUCCACCAAGACUUCCACCGCAACCCCGGGCAAAGUUUGUUCAUCUCGCCGCCCCCACCGUCCCGCCACCCAUCUCACCGGUUUCGUCGGCCUCGUCCUUACUGUCCACCAGCUCCGACGAAUCCCCAUCGCCGACUCCGCCCGUACCUUCACCUCCGCGUGAUUUGAAGGAAGGUGCUGGAUCGACCGACUCCCUCAAGUCCGACCACCGCUGCCACGAGCCUGUCGAAGACGUAGAGCUAGCCGCGGACAUCUUGUGUGCAGUUCGUGAUUUCGUGAAGACCCUGACCGCACUGCCUCCGCGUGGCCGUCACGAGAAGUUCAACUAUGUACACCCCUCCCUACGCACUACAGUUGAACGUGUGUUCGGAAUAAAGAAAAAUUCUGCGGGGUAUGCAGUAUUUUCCAGAGCCUCACACCCAGACGCAGAUCAUCCAGGCAGCAUGUGCUCUGUAUAUAUAAUUUCGUUACGCAGCAUCUUUUGUAUAAUGGAUUUCCCAUCCAGGGCACGUGAUUGGUACAAUGCUCCAAACAGUGAGGAGGAAAUGUCUGAGACAAUUGCGACCGCUGUUGUUUCUGCUUGUUAUGGCAGGAAAAAAACAUUUAGCAUGUAUUUAGUUGUACUCGUAUUAUUAGUUAUCAUCUGCCCAGCCAGGGCUCAUGUAUGUCGUAC
RNAcentral lists this long non-coding RNA (1178 nucleotides) under Oryza brachyantha (malo sina). RNAcentral's name for it is "long non-coding RNA (OBRA_LNC001006)". Lineage: Eukaryota; Viridiplantae; Streptophyta; Magnoliopsida; Poales; Poaceae. The record is from RNAcentral.